GACAAAGUCUCACACACUGGGUAAUGGUCACCAAUGGAAUCAGCCACAAGUUUUGUGCUCUUUUUUUCAGGGAUCAGAAAAUUAGUAAUUGCAAACCAUGGAUGAAAUUUAUAAGAUCGCUUCCACAGAAAGGAUCCAGGUGUUGGAAAAAGAACUGGCUACACAAUUGACUGAACUGAAGUCUGAGAUAGAAGAACAAUGGACUCUCCAGGGGUCAGCUCAUCAAACUUACAGCUCUGUUCGAAUGCCGAAGGACAUCUCUUACUUUAGAAGAGAAAGGGAACUGGCCCUAAAGAAAACUUUACAGGUGGCUGAGUCAAAGUCCCUUGUUAUUCAAUCAGAUGUCAUGCAGAGGGAGCUAGAGAGCUGCCUAAGGAGAGAGUACACUCCUGAAAAUUUACCUUUGCUUCUGUUGCAGCAUUAUACAGAGAGAAUUACCCAGCUGGCCCAGAGUAAAUAUUUACACAUGCUUAGGUGGAAGAGAUUUUGCCAUCACAGUAAGAUCAUGGAGCAACUUUAUCCUUUUUACAAGGCUCUCCAGUAUUUACCCAUCUCCAAAGCUCUGAGUGUAGCUGUUGACGAAGUCCCUGAGGUUGGUCAGGAAAAUGAAGUUUCCUGUUGA
Molecule: long non-coding RNA, 622 nt
Filed under: Bos indicus x Bos taurus (hybrid cattle)
Lineage: Eukaryota; Metazoa; Chordata; Mammalia; Artiodactyla; Bovidae
Description: lncRNA (ENSBIXG00005008236.1)
Source: RNAcentral